This 1247-nucleotide ribosomal RNA is filed under the name metagenome. RNAcentral's name for it is "bacterial LSU rRNA". It matches the Rfam family "Bacterial large subunit ribosomal RNA", at positions 1564 to 2820 of the family's 2925-position model. The record is from RNAcentral.
UGAAUACGAGAUGCUACGGCGUCGAAGCAGUCUAUGUCAUACUUCCAAGAAAAGCUUGCACUGUCAUAAACAAAUAAUGCCUGUACCAUAACCGACACAGGUGGGUAGGUAGAGUAUACUAAGGGGCGCGAGGUAACUCUCUCUAAGGAACUCGGCAAAAUGACUCCGUAACUUCGGGAGAAGGAGUGCCUUAUUUAUAAGGUUGCAAUAACAAGAUCCAAGCAACUGUUUACCAAAAACACAGGUCUCCGCUAAGUCGUAAGACGAUGUAUGGGGGCUGACGCCUGCCCAGUGCCAGAAGGUUAAAGAAGUUGGUUAGCAUCCGCGAAGCUGAUAACUGAAGCCCUGGUGAACGGCGGCCGUAACAAUAACGGUCCUAAGGUAGCGAAAUUCCUUGUCGGGUAAGUUCCGACCCGCACGAAAGGCGUAAUGAUUUGGAUACUGUCUCGGAGAGGGGCUCGGUGAAAUAGACUUGUCUGUGAAGAUGCGGACUACCUGCACCAGGACAGAAAGACCCUAUGAAGCUUUACUGUAACCUGAAAUUGAAAUUGGACUUUACUUGCGCAGUAUAGGUGGGAGGCGUUGAGAAUAUUCUUGCGGGAUUAUUGGAGCCAUCAGUGAGAUACCACUCUUGUAAUGUUAGAUUUCUAACUUUGUAUCAUUAUCUGGUCAAAGAACAGUUUCAGGCGGGCAGUUUGACUGGGGCGGUCGCCUCCUAAACGGUAACGGAGGCGCACAAAGGUUUCCUCUGAACGGGUAGAAAUCGUAUCUAGAGUGUAAAGGCAUAAGGAAGCUUGACUGUGAGACCUACAAGUCGAGCAGGGACGAAAGUCGGUCUUAGUGAUCUGACGGUGCUGAGUGGAAAGGCCGUCACUCAACGGAUAAAAGUUACUCUAAGGAUAACAGGCUGAUCUCCCCCAAGAGUUCACAUCGACGGGGAGGUUUGGCACCUCGAUGUCGGCUCAUCGCAUCCUGGGGCGGUAGUACGUCCCAAGGGUUGGGCUGUUCGCCCAUGAAAGCGGUACGCGAGCUGGGUUCAGAACGUCGUGAGACAGUUCGGUCCAUAUCCGGUGUAGGCGUUAGAAUAUUGAGAGGAGCCUUCUUUAGUACGAGAGGACCGAGAAGGACAUACCUCUGGUGUACCAGUUAUCGUGCCAACGGUAAACGCUGGGUAGCUAUGUGUGGAGUGGAUAACCGCUGAAAGCAUCUAAGUGGGAAGCCCACCUCAAGAUAAGUAUUCUCAUAAA